This 226-nucleotide long non-coding RNA is filed under the name Salvia miltiorrhiza (redroot sage). Its description in RNAcentral is "long non-coding RNA (SMIL_LNC009903)". Lineage: Eukaryota; Viridiplantae; Streptophyta; Magnoliopsida; Lamiales; Lamiaceae. The record is from RNAcentral.
ACGUGUCACAAUUUCAUAACAUAAAGUUAUCCUAAUCAAAGUGUUUUGCAGCGAAAACGUGUGAGAUAUACAUAUGAAGAUGUAUACUCAAGGUUACAUUUCUUGAAAUGUCAAAGGAACACCCGCUCAACAUCAUUCCAUUCCAUCAGUUGCUCAACCUGCACAUUUAGAAAUACAUGCAGGGCUGAGUAUAAAAAUACUCAGUGGACAUAGCCGAAAAUACAUU